AACGAACGCUGGCGGCAGGCCUAACACAUGCAAGUCGAGCGAAGCCUUCGGGCUUAGCGGCGGACGGGUGAGUAACGCGUGGGAACGUGCCCUUUGGUACGGAAUAGCCCCGGGAAACUGGGAGUAAUACCGUAUGUGGUCGAGAGACGAAAGAUUUAUCGCCAAAGGAUCGGCCCGCGUUGGAUUAGGUAGUUGGUGGGGUAAUGGCCUAACAAGCAGACGGUCCAUAGCUGGUUUGAGAGGAUGAUCAGCCACACUGGGACUGAGACACGGCCCAGACUCCUACGGGAGGCAGCAGUGGGGAAUCUUAGACAAUGGGGGAAACCCUGAUCUAGCCAUGCCGCGUGAUCGAUGAAGGCCUUAGGGUUGUAAAGAUCUUUCAGUGGGGAAGAUAAUGACUGUACCCACAGAAGAAGCCCCGGCUAACUCCGUGCCAGCCGCCGCAGUAA
Molecule: ribosomal RNA, 449 nt
Filed under: uncultured bacterium
Lineage: Bacteria
Description: partial 16S ribosomal RNA
Rfam family: Bacterial small subunit ribosomal RNA
Source: RNAcentral